Molecule: unclassified non-coding RNA, 200 nt
Filed under: soil metagenome
Description: partial contains internal transcribed spacer 2 and large subunit ribosomal RNA
Source: RNAcentral
UCACUAAUCAAGCUCGGCUUGCUGUUGGACCUUCUGUCGUUAAAAAGACGGGCCCUAAAGAUAAUGACGGUUGUUAAUUAGACCCUAGAUGCAACGAGCUUUCAUUAGCACGCAUGUUAGUUGGACUUUUUAACCCGGUCUUUUUUUAACCAAUUUUUAAGGUUGACCUCGGAUCAGGUAGGAAUACCCGCUGAACUUAA